AAAGGAAUAGACGGGGGCCCGCACAAGCAGUGGAGCAUGUGGUUUAAUUCGAAGCAACGCGAAGAACCUUACCAGGGCUUGACAUCCCUCUGACAGGUGUAGAGAUACACCUUCCCUUCGGGGCAGAGGAGACAGGUGGUGCAUGGUUGUCGUCAGCUCGUGUCGUGAGAUGUUGGGUUAAGUCCCGCAACGAGCGCAACCCUUGUCGCUAGUUGCCAGCACGUAGAGGUGGGCACUCUAGCGAGACUGCCGGCGAGAAGUCGGAGGAAGGUGGGGACGACGUCAAAUCAUCAUGCCCCUUAUGUCCUGGGCUACACACGUGCUACAAUGGCGACUACAGAGGGAAGCAAAUCCGCGAGGAGGAGCAAAUCCCGAAAGGUCGUCCCAGUUCGGAUUGCAGGCUGCAACUCGCCUGCAUGAAGCCGGAAUUGCUAGUAAUGGCAGGUCAGCAUACUGCCGUGAAUACGUUCCCGGGCCUUGUACACACCGCCCGU
This 494-nucleotide ribosomal RNA is filed under the name uncultured bacterium. Its description in RNAcentral is "bacterial SSU rRNA". It matches the Rfam family "Bacterial small subunit ribosomal RNA", at positions 903 to 1397 of the family's 1533-position model. The record is from RNAcentral.